AAAGUAGAAAUCAAUAUAAGAAA
RNAcentral lists this small nuclear RNA (23 nucleotides) under Arabidopsis thaliana (thale cress). RNAcentral describes it as "snRNA_04228". The record is from RNAcentral. Lineage: Eukaryota; Viridiplantae; Streptophyta; Magnoliopsida; Brassicales; Brassicaceae.